This 361-nucleotide ribosomal RNA is filed under the name uncultured Glomeromycotina. RNAcentral describes it as "SSU rRNA". It matches the Rfam family "Eukaryotic small subunit ribosomal RNA", at positions 569 to 939 of the family's 1831-position model. The record is from RNAcentral. Lineage: Eukaryota; Fungi; Glomeromycota.
AGCAGCCGCGGUAAUUCCAGCUCCAAUAGCGUAUAUUAAAGUUGUUGCAGUUAAAAAGCUCGUAGUUGAAUUUCGGGAUCAAUAUGUCGGUCGUGCCUCGGUACGCACUGGCUUAUUGGUUUCUCCCUUCUGACGAACCAUGAUGUCAUUAAUUUGGUGUCUUGGGAAAUCAGGACUGUUACUUUGAAAAAUUGAGUGUUUAAAGCAGGCUCACGCUUGAAUACAUUAGCAUGGAAUAAUGAAAUAGGACGUUUGAUUCUAUUUUGUUGGUUUCUAGGAUCGACGUAAUGAUUAAUAGGGAUAGUUGGGGGCAUUAGUAUUCAAUUGUCAGAGGUGAAAUUCUUGGAUUUAUUGAAGCUAA